Molecule: long non-coding RNA, 994 nt
Filed under: Carica papaya (papaya)
Lineage: Eukaryota; Viridiplantae; Streptophyta; Magnoliopsida; Brassicales; Caricaceae
Description: long non-coding RNA (CPAP_LNC001092)
Source: RNAcentral
AUAAACACAAACAAAUACAAAUUAAACAUACUAAUUAUAUUUUUAUUAUACUGCACAUACAUUUAAACAUUCGCACACAAUGCACUAUACAUAUACACAUUUAUAUAAAUAUAUAAUUUAUGUCUCUAUAAAUAAUACACAUAAUUCUUACCUAUGGUGUGAUCAGGAAAGCUUUGAGAAUCCUUUCUAUCUCGAUCUACAGUCCUCUCGGAAAUCCGAAUACCAUCGAAUAAUUUUUUUCGUUUAUAAUAGAAAACACAUAAAUUAAAUUAUGAAUAAUUUUGAAACUAUAUUACGCGAAAUGAGGAACAAAUUUUACCUUGGAACAUGAAGUCUCGGUCGCUAACGUCACCACCUGUUAUCAUAUGCGUGUUACUGAAAAUGGAAAGUGCUGAUGAUCAAAUCAACGCGCAUUGUCGCAUGUGGCAAACCAACAUCGUAUUUGGUCGUCACCCUUCCAUUUUUCUUCCUUAAUUUAAUUUAAUUUGUUUUCUUUUUUUCCUUUUCUUUUCAUUCUCUUUUUUUUUCUUUUUUUCUUUUUUUUUUCCUUCUCUUUUUCUUUUCUUUUCUUCUUCCUUUUCUUGUCUCUCUCUCUCUCUCUUCUCUUUCUCUCUCUACCCGACCAUGAUUCUUCUCUGUCUUCUUCUCCUUCUUCUUCUUUUCCCCUUUUUGAUUUUCCUUUCUUCUUCUUCUACUACUUCUUUUUUUUCCUUCUCUUAUUCCUCUUCUUCCCGCGAUGUCUCCCCUUCUGUCGCGUCCCACCUUCGCUAGUGCCGCUCACUCCUCCUCCUCAUGCGGCUUAGGCUCCUCCCCUCGCUCCGCUCUCUCGACCUCGAUCCUCACUAAGCUCGGUCUCCUCUCUCACCUACUUGAACACAUCUCGCUUUCUCUUUUUUUUUCUCUUAUGCUAUUUCAUUAUAUAUAUACAUACAUUUUUUUGUCGCUUUCUUUGUUCUCCUUCUCUCUACAUUCUUCUUUUUUUUAAUUAAUUAAU